This 582-nucleotide long non-coding RNA is filed under the name Marmota monax (woodchuck). Lineage: Eukaryota; Metazoa; Chordata; Mammalia; Rodentia; Sciuridae. The record is from RNAcentral.
CCCCUCUCCCUCUCCCUCUCCCUCUCUCCUUUAAAAAAAAAAAAAAGAUGUGUGCCCCCCUAUUCACUGCCAAUAGCCAGAACAUGGAAUCAACCUAAUGAAUGGAUAAAGAAGAUGUGUUACAUACACACAUGGAGUAUUUUUCAGCUUUCACAGAGGCAAUUCUGUCAUUUGCACCAACACAGAUGAAGCUGGAGGGUGUUAUGAUAAGCCAAAUAAGCCAGGCAAAGAAGAGCAUGACACCAACUCACUUUUAUAUGGAACCCAAGAAAGCUGAGCAGGGUCUGGUGGCUCAGGACUUGGGAGGCUGAGGCAGGAGAACUGCAGUUCCAAGGCCAGCUUGGGAAAUGUUGUUUGACCCUGUCUCAAAAUAAAAAAAUUAAAAAGUACUGGGACGUAGUUAUAACAAGACAUCCAUUGAACCCCAUAAAUAUCUACAAUUGUUAUUUCUUGGUUAAAAAUUAAGAGACCAGGGGCUGAAUGUGUGGCUCAGUGGUAGAACAUUUGCCUGGCAUAUGUGAGACCCUGGGUUCUAUCCUCAGCACCACAUAUAAAUAGAUAAAUAAAUAAAAUAAAAGAUCC